GAUGAACGCUGGCGGCGUGCCUAAUACAUGCAAGUAGAACGCUGAAGGAGGAGCUUGCUCUUCUGGAUGAGUUGCGAACGGAUGAGUAACGAGUAGGUAACCUGCCUGGUAGCGGGGGAUAACUAUUGGAAACGAUAGCUAAUACCGCAUGACAACAGUUAUUGCAUGAUAACUGUUUAAAAGGGGCAACUGCUCCACUACCAGAUGGACCUGCGUUGUAUUAGCUAGUUGGUGAGGUAACGGCUCACCAAGGCGACGAUACAUAGCCGACCUGAGAGGGUGGACGGCCACACUGGGACUGGGACACGGCCCAGACUCCUGCGGGAGGCAGCAGUAGGGAGUCUGCGGCAAUGGACGGAAGUCUGACCGAGCAACGACGCGUGAGUGAAGAAGGUUUUCGGAUCGUAAAGCUCAGUUGUAAGAGAAGAACGAGUGUGAGAGUGGAAAGUUCACACUGUGACGGUAUCUUACCAGAGAGGGACGGCUAACUACGUG
This 495-nucleotide ribosomal RNA is filed under the name uncultured bacterium. Its description in RNAcentral is "partial 16S ribosomal RNA". It matches the Rfam family "Bacterial small subunit ribosomal RNA", at positions 28 to 507 of the family's 1533-position model. The record is from RNAcentral.